AAUGGGCGCAAGCCUGAUCCAGCCAUACCGCGUGGGUGAAGAAGGCCUUCGGGUUGUAAAGCCCUUUUGUUGGGAAAGAAAAGCAGCCGGCUAAUACCCGGUUGUUCUGACGGUACCCAAAGAAUAAGCACCGGCUAACUUCGUGCCAGCAGCCGCGGUAAUACGAAGGGUGCAAGCGUUACUCGGAAUUACUGGGCGUAAAGCGUGCGUAGGUGGUUGUUUAAGUCUGUCGUGAAAGCCCUGGGCUCAACCUGGGAACUGCGAUGGAAACUGGGCGACUAGAGUGUGGUAGAGGGUAGCGGAAUUCCUGGUGUAGCAGUGAAAUGCGUAGAUAUCAGGAGGAACAUCCAUGGCGAAGGCAGCUACCUGGGCCAACACUGACACUGAGGCACGAAAGCGUGGGGAGCAAA
This 410-nucleotide ribosomal RNA is filed under the name uncultured bacterium. RNAcentral's name for it is "bacterial SSU rRNA". It matches the Rfam family "Bacterial small subunit ribosomal RNA", at positions 370 to 772 of the family's 1533-position model. The record is from RNAcentral.